This 368-nucleotide ribosomal RNA is filed under the name uncultured bacterium. Its description in RNAcentral is "partial 16S ribosomal RNA". It matches the Rfam family "Bacterial small subunit ribosomal RNA", at positions 338 to 698 of the family's 1533-position model. The record is from RNAcentral.
CCUACGGGAGGCAGCAGUGGGGAAUAUUGCGCAAUGGGCGAAAGCCUGACGCAGCGACGCCGCGUGAGGGAUGAAGGUCCUCUGAGCAUAAACCUCUGUCAGCAGGGAAGAACGGUCACUGUGCUAAUCAUCAGUGAAUUGACGGUACCUGCAAAGGAAGCACCGGCUAACUCCGUGCCAGCAGCCGCGGGAAUCCGGAGGGUGCGAGCGUUAAUCGGAUUUCAUGGGGGUAAAGCGCUCGGAGGCGGUAUGUCAAGUCAAGGGUGAAAUCCCCGGGCUCAACGUGGGAACUGCCUUUGAAACUGGCGAACUGGAGUGUGUGAGAGGAUAGUGGAAUGCCAGGUGUAGGAGGGAAAUCCGUAGGUAUC